Molecule: ribosomal RNA, 459 nt
Filed under: uncultured bacterium
Lineage: Bacteria
Description: partial 16S ribosomal RNA
Rfam family: Bacterial small subunit ribosomal RNA
Source: RNAcentral
CCUACGGGUGGCAGCAGUGAGGAAUAUUGGUCAAUGGUCGGGAGACUGAACCAGCCAAGCCGCGUGAGGGAUGAAGGUACAGAGUAUCGUAAACCUCUUUUGUCAGGGAACAAAGGCGGGGACGUGUCCCCGGAUGAGUGUACCUGAAGAAAAAGCAUCGGCUAACUCCGUGCCAGCAGCCGCGGUAAUACGGGGGAUGCGAGCGUUAUCCGGAUUUAUUGGGGUUAAAGGGUGCGCAGGCGGUGUGUUAAGUCUGCGGUAAAAGCCCGGGGCUCAACCCCGGCCCGCCGUUGAAACUGGCAGUCUCGAGUUGGAGAGAAGUAUGCGGAAUGCGCGGUGUAGCGGUGAAAUGCAUAGAUAUCGCGCAGAACUCCGAUUGCGAAGGCAGCAUGCCGGCUCCACACUGACGCUGAGGCACGAAAGCGUGGGUAUCGAACAGGAUUAGAUACCCCAGUAGUC